RNAcentral lists this long non-coding RNA (9314 nucleotides) under Olea europaea subsp. europaea. The record is from RNAcentral. Lineage: Eukaryota; Viridiplantae; Streptophyta; Magnoliopsida; Lamiales; Oleaceae.
CUCCUAUUUUGAGCGCUCUAGUGAGACCAAGGUGAUUAGUGAGCGCCAGUUUGGCGUUUCCUUCUCCUCGCACGAUUUUUUCCUCUUCUAUUACAACUUGGAUUCCUUCAAUUCUUCUUCAAGUCCAAAACAAAUUUCAAACUCUCAAUUGAACUCCUGAAUUGAAUUCCCAAAUACACUUCAAUUAAAAUUCCCAAAUAGUCUCCCAAAUGGAAUUCGGGCCACAUCCUAAUUCUAACAUAUUACGUCAUAAAAAUUGUUGUAAAAGAUGUGCAAGGGAAGUGCAACGGUUGUGCGUCUGUACAUGUGAAAGAAGAGCGAUAUCAUGUGUGUCUGUGGUGGAUUUUUUUGAUUCAUGAACAAUCAUGUACAGGAAAAUUGAUUGUUGUCUUCCAUGUUGGUUAAUGAAUUUUAAUCAUUACAAUAGGAAAUUAAUUUUCCUUUGAAUAUUAAAAAUCAUGUAAAUAAGGUUAUAAUUGACCUUGAGAUCAUUGGAUUAUAAAAUCCUCACAUAUAUAGAAAGGGGAGAUGAUAACCUUUUUGAAGGAACUAUUAAUGGCCUAGCCAAUUGCUUCCUCUCUUAGAUCUUCUCCCUCGUUCUCCACUAGGUGUAAUUCCUUUUAAGGGAAUGUGAAAAGUGGCUAACCCUAAUUCUCCUUCAAAAUAUGCCAAUAAAGUGCAUAUUUAUAAUGACCUAUUAGGGUUUGGAAAUUACACAAUUUUUCUUAGACUUUAUUGUAGUUGGCCAAUUAAGUCACACACCUUUUAUUAGAGCCAAGAGAGGGACCUAAUUGGACUUACAUGACCCAAACUUCAAUAGAUAUUUUUUAAUUGGGUCAACCUUUGACCAAUUGAGAUACAUCUAUUAAUCCCGACUUAUUCUACCAAAAAAUUGAGACUGCACUCUCGAGUGGAGUGAUAGUUAUAGAAGCAAAUUAUGAUCCAAUAACAAUAUCCUCUGAUUAUCGUUCCACAAGUCAACCCCCAUUUGACCGUCAAUAUAUUGAAACUAGAAAAAUGACCAUUUUGCCCUUCAACAUGUAUUACCGUCAAGUCCCAUUUUCAUACGGCAAAUUCGUUGUGAUCAAAUCACAAUGUAAAGUCCAAAGAUCUCAUCGUCGACCUACUGAGCUCAGAUUCAAUUUGCCUAGAAAAAUACCUUAGAGUGACGAUCGUCUCAUCUCAAUGAUUAAUGGAUUCCAAUAUUGUAAGUAUAUGAUCCCUAAUUAUUUUGGCCUGAUUCCCAAAGCACCGAGAUCAAUCUUCCAUUUAAGACUUCACUCAUUGGUACCUCAAAGAACUUGAACUAGCAAUCAAAGGUACAUUACUCACUCAGAAUUUAGGUGACCUGUUUGAUAAUCAAGUAGAGUCUCAUUUCAAAUGGUCACAAAUGAGUCAUCUACGUAGUCUCAUUCAAUGUGCAUCGAAACACAUUAUUGUUCUUAUUUCAAGAUCUAGACAAAUCUUAAUAAGAACAAUACAAUCUUAUCAACAUAUAGCGUCCAACUUUAUGAACCGAUUGUGAACGACAUAAUUUUGAUCACAUCACAAAUUGUAUCUUACUAUACCCAAUCCAUCGAGUAUACAAUUUGUGACAUCCUAUAUGAUCAUGAAACCUUAGACAAUCACUUCAAAUUAUAACACGCAAAUAAACGAACGUAAAUUCAUAAUGUGAUUUUACAGAACAUUACUCGAAGAAUGGGCAUCAAACUAACAUUCCAUACAUGUUUAAUUUAUAGAAGUAUAUUAAAAUCUAUAAAAGAAAGCAAGCCUAUCUUCUCAAUGGUGAAAUUCCUGGCAUGUGAAAGUGAAAUUAAACAUGUAGCAUUUCUUCCUUAUUGUCUGUCGUGGUUUGUUUUUCCCCAUGACGGAAACACUAUAGGAAAAUCAGUUCUCCUCACUACAGUUCUGAUAUGAUCCAGAAGUCGAGCCCGACGAAGGUAAGUGCGAGACGAGACCAGUUGAUAGUCGAGGCGGACCAAUGACGCGAUCAAGGGCAAAGCAAGUGAAACAAGUGAUGGGAUUGCUCGUUCAAGAAUCUAUUGAUGGAACCAUAUUUGGGACUCAAAAUGGGACAAGUUUCGUGUUCGGGUCGAAGGCCGAAACAAAAUGGGUCAAUGCGUUACAAGCAACCGAAGACGACACUGGGUAGUGUAACCAUGCGGCCGCACAGCAUGAUACCGAGAAUCAAAAUGGCCAAAAUCUUAUUACCAUGUGGCCGCACAUGUUAUAACCAUGCGACCGCAUGGUUCAUUUCGGGGCGCGAUUUUCCUUUUUUCUGCGUUUUCCUUAUUUUACUAGAAUUUCAUUCUUAAUCAAAUUCCUACCAUAUUGGACGAAUAUUUUAGGAAUUUUGUUAGAUUAUUAGAAUUAUAUUUCCUUGACUUCUAUUCGAGGAAUAGUAUAAAUAGGAGAUUACUUUUGAUUGUAAAAAAACCUUUGAACUUUUGACAUUGCUUAAUAUUAUAGUGAGAGAAUUAUUCUUUCAAUUUAAUUGUUCUUCUUGAACAAUCUUGGAACUUAUCAAGAUUCAACUUCUUGUGGUGUUCUAUCAAUCGGAUUGUGGGUUCUUUCAAUUGUAAUCAAGGGGUUUUAGGUUUUUCGCUAAUCUAGGGUUUCUUGGUUCAAUUCUUGGGGUUCAAGAUCCAAAACCGGGUUAGUAUUGGUGUUCUUGGGUUCUGCAUCAAUCUCGUUGUGGGUUUCGUAGUUUCCAUUGCUAUGGGGUUCGCAUCAGUUGGUAUCAGAGCUUUGGUUCCAAUUUAAUCAGGUUAUAUCCUUUGUUUUCUAAUUUUUUUUUUCAAUUUCUUGUGUUCUUGUGUCCAGAAGGUUUUUUUGAUCUUUGAUCCAAAAAAUUUCAUCAAAAAUCUUCAAAUUCCGUUUUUGGGCUCAAUUUUCGCCCAAAUCAGUUUUCGUUUUCUUUGUUGGUUUUGUUAUUGAUUUCUGGAUCUUAAAAAAAAUUAAUGUUCAUCAGUACGGUACUGUUCAUCCGUACAGUAAAAAAAACUUUUUGAAUAUUAUUGAUCCGACAAAUACCAACUAUUAUUAUUCAUUAUCGCUUCUAAAUUACUUGGACACAUUAAAUCAUUCCAUUCCUUCAUUCAAAUCAAGUUUUAAAAGUUUUCUUUGAGUCCUGUGUUACAAUUAUUGAGUCACAUCUGGUUUGGGGAAUUCUACUUGAACUGAUUGAUUGAUUGAGUUCAUUGAUUGUUCCUAGAAGCAAUUGUUGAAAGAAUUCAGUGGUAAAAGGUAGAGAGGUGAGCUUAAUAGAGGGUAAAAGCCUUGUGUGUGUUCCGAGUGACUUUUGGUGAGGCAGUAAAAUAAAAUUUUAGUGUUAGGAUGUCAAAAAGGGCAGAAUCAAACUCAAGCUGACAAGGUAAUAAUAGCAAUGCAACGGAGGAUUUAGUGCAGAGGUUUGAGAGGGCGUUUGGAGAUGUGAGAGAUAGGUUGGAGAAGUAGGAGGCUUGGACGAAUAGAUUAGAUACAUCGGUGGCUAAUCUUAGUCGAGGGCAUCGAGUGGAUGUAUCCAAUGCCAGAGGACCGGAUAGAUGGAAGCCUAGGAGAGAAAGGCGAGAUGAGUAUGGAUAUGGAAGUAACAUGGGCGAAGAUGAAUUUCACGGUGUUGAGAUGGGAAGGAUGAGGAAUAGAGGCAAUAGGUUCGACAGACGGGGUCGGAAUGAUCGCGGGGAGGAGUUGGAUGGAAACUUGAGAAAUAUAAAAAUGACAGUUCCUUCAUUCAAAGGAAGGAGUGAUCCCGAGGCAUACCUGGAUUUGGAAAGGAAGGUUGAAAUGAUCUUCGAGUGUUAUAACUAUUCGGAGGAGAAAAAGGUGAAGUUAGCAGUUUUGGAGUUCAGUGACUAUGCAAUUUCAUGGUGGGAUCAAGUGAUUACUUCACAACGUAGGAGUGGGGAAAGACCAAUCAGCACUUGGGAGGAAUUGAAGCCAUUGAUGAAAAAGAGGUUUGUUCCUAGCCACUAUUAUCGAGAGAUCCAUCAAAAACUGCAAGGUCUAUAUCAAGGGUCGAAAAGUAUAGAGGAUUAUCAUAAGGAGAUGGAAAUACUCAAGAUUAGGGCCAAUGUGGUGAAGGAUCGGGAGGCUACCAUGGCACAAUUCUUGAAUGUGUUGAAUAGGGAAAUUACCAAUAUAGUGGAGUUGCAACAUUAUGUAGAGUUGGAAGACAUGUUGCAUGUGGCUGUGAAGAUAGAGAGAUAGCUGAAGAGGAAAGGGGCAACUAGGCAGCUGUUAGGAACUUCGAGUGUUAAUCCAUCUUGGAAGUCAGGGUGGAACAACAACAAUAAAGGUGAUAAAGCAGUACCUAAAGGUAGGAAUGAAUGGCAGAAAGGAAAAGAAGAAAGUGCUAGCAAAACAGCACCCAAAACAGAUUCACAACCAUCAAGGAAUUGAGACAUCAAGUGUUUUAGAUGCUUGGGAUCAGGGCAUAUUGCUUCUCAAUGCCCAAAUAAAUGGGUAAUGAUUUUGUUGGAUAAUGGAGAGGUGGUGAGUGAAAGUGAAUGAGAGUUUGAAGACAUGCCUGCGUUGGAGGACGUGGAAGAAGAAGAAAAAUUGGAGUUUGCUGUUGGGGAAUCGUUGGUGUCAAGGAGAGCUCUUAACACUCAAGUUAAAGUGGAUGAUUCGGAGCAGCAGCGAGAAAAUAUAUUCCACACACGUUGUUACGUCAACGAUAAGGUAUGUAGUAUGAAUAUUGAUGGUGGGAGUUGCACGAAUGUAGCUAGCACAACUUUAGUUGAGAAAUUAGGACUAGCAUUGUUAAGACACCCUAGGCCUUAUAAGUUGCAAUGAUUGAAUGAAAGUGGGGAAGUUAGGGUGAAUAAAAGAGUUUUAAUUAAUUUCUCAAUUGGGAGUUAUAGUGACAAAGUAGUAUCUGAUGUGGUGCCUAUGCAUGUGGGUCAUAUCUUAUUAGGAAGGCAAUGGCAAUAUGAUAGAAAGGUCACACAUGGUGGUUAUAGGAAUCGUUCUAGCUUUGUCAAGGAUGGGAAGACUAUUACUCUUGAACUAUUAACACUGGCACAAGUGUAUGGAGAUCAAAUCAAGCUGAAAAGUGAGGAAGACGAGCGACUAAGAGAGUCGAGAAGAAGGAGAGGCAAUAGUGAAACCAUCACUAAGAAAGAAAAUAGUGAGGUGGCUGAGAGUGGAGAAAAGAGAGAGAAGCCACAUGAGCGGAGAGAAAAAGAGUCAUUUGAGAGGAGAGAAAAAGAGUCAGCUGAGCGGAGAGAAAAGCCAAAGGUCAACUUUAUGCAAAAGAGAGUGAGUUGAAAAAGGCUAUGAGUGAUAAUAGGCAAAUGAUAUUGUUAGUGUACAAGGAGUCCCUCCUCAAUUUCGAGGAUUCUAACACAUCCCUCCCUAGUUUGGUUAAGUCUUUAUUGCAGGAGUUCGACGAUGUGUUUCCUGAGGAGAUGCCAAGUGGAUUGCCACCAAUCAGAGGCAUCGAGCACCAGAUUGACUUUGUACCCGGAGCUGUCAUACCGAAUUGACCAGCUUACCGAAGCAGUCCCGAGGAGACGAAGGAGCUUCAAAAGCAAGUGGAGGAGUUGAUGAGCAAAUGUUAUGUCAGGGAGAGCAUGAGUCCAUGUGCUGUACCUGUUUUGCUGGUGCCUAAGAAGGACGGGACUUGGAAAAUGUGCGUGGAUUGCCGAACUAUCAAUAAUAUCACGCUAAAGUAUCGUCACCCAAUACCUAGACUAGAUGAUAUGCUUGAUGAGUUGCAUGGUGCUUGCAUUUUUAGCAAGAUUGAUCUUAAGAGUGGGUAUCAUCAAAUUUGCAUGUGGGAGGGUGAUGAAUGGAAAACGGCAUUUAAGACUAAGUAUGGAUUGUAUGAAUGUUUAGUUAUGCCGUUUGGACUCACUAAUGCACCAAGCACUUUUAUGUGUUUAAUGAACCAUGUUUUGCGUGCUUUUAUUGGGAAAUUUGUUGUAGUUUAUUUUGAUGACAUCUUAAUCUAUAGCAAAAACAUAGAUGAGCAUUUAGAACAUUUAAAUUGUGUGCUUGUUGUGUUGCGAAAGGAACAACUAUAUGCUAAUUUCAAAAAGUGCACAUUUUGCAUGGAUAGAGUUGUUUUCCUAGGAUUUGUGGUUAGUGCUAACGGGGUGGAAGUCGAUGAAGAAAAGAUAAAAGCUAUUAAAGAAUGGCCAACACCUAAGACUAUAACUGAAGUUAGGAGUUUUCAUGGAUUGGCUAGUUUUUAUAGGCGAUUUGUAAGAGAUUUUAGCACCAUCACCACACCGUUGACUGAAAUAGUAAAGAAGAGUGUAGGUUUUCAUUGGGGAGAAUCUCAAGAAAUUGCAUUUAACACAAUUAAGGAUAAGCUAUGUAAAGNUCAACAAUUUUAACUUAAAGAGAAGAAAAUUCGAAAAAAGAAUCUCUUGAACACUUGCGCCAGAAGUUCUUGCUGAUGUUUAUAGAAUUUUAAGUGCAAAAUGUGGAACUGGACAAGGACAAAAAGGAAGUUAUUGAACUUAAGGUUACGAAAAUAUAGAAAACUUCUUUUUUGUUAGGCAAUUUGUUAUUAAACGACCUCUCCAGGCGAUGAUGUAACCUCGGUUUUUAUUAUCAAUCGGCCUUGGCUAUAUAAUUGACUAGUACAUCGACACAAUUAUCGAGACAACACAAUCCACAUUUUUAUGGACCGUUCGAAGCAACCUAUUUUAAAUAGUGUUGCUCACAGUUCGCCCCAUUUCCUUGGAAGGCUAUAUUAUUAUUUUGAAGCCCACUUUAAUUGAGUCGAGCCUUGUUUGGUCCACAAUUUAACCCUAACCUAACUUACCUAUUUUGGACAUUUACUUGGCAUAUAAUCCCACCUUCCUCUCGGCCUCCAUGGAGUGUGCCUAUUUUUCUCUUCUCUUUGUGAGACUCUCUACUCGGCUGCUUGAUAUACUUUACUGUGACCUUUGUGGUUAAUCCUUUGUGGGCACAUCACUGGACUUCACUUUCCAACCUAUAGCUACCGGAGUGGGGCGGUGGCAGUGGUGGUUCUUGGAGUUGUCUCAACCUUUGUGGUGUCGAUGAAAUUGGUAAACUGAACCCGAUUUUGUACUUGGAGUUCGGUGGAAAUCAACAAUACAUUUUUAAUGGUUCUAGUUGUCAUUUAUAGAAUUUAAGUGCACUGAAAGGGGCCCUUGUUUCCAAAAAAAUGUGGAACUGGAUAAGGACAAAAGGAAUUUAUUGAACUUAAGGGAACAGCCCCAUUCCAACUGGUGCAGGCUUGGGUAGGAGAGAUUUCAAACAUUAAGUGCCACGCCUAAUUCGACUUGGUUUGGUGAGCCAAGAUUGGCUCCAUGGCAUGGUAUAAAGGAACUGGGAUAGAAGAAAGUGUUAUUGACACUAGAUGGAGCUAAAGAAGAUUUUACUCGGCUCCCUUUCACGAGGGCUGCAAACAACUUCCUCCCUCUCAUGGUUAUCAAGGAAAAUUAUUAUUGAGAAUAUUUCUAUUUGGUUCAUGUGAUGAAAUUGAAGGGCUUGUUUGAUGUUUGAGAUUGAGCAAGCUUGUUAGCCUGGAAAUUGAUUGCACUGAACUUGCCAUUCAUUGAUUUUUAGCAGCAUCCCCAAAAUGUCCGGAAAUAUGGCCAAUAUCUCUCACAUCGCUUGACCAUACGAUUCUAUCUAUUUUAUUUCAUACUACUCAUCAAUAAAGCUCCAGUAUUCACUGAACAUGAUAUAUAAUUUGGAAUAAAUUUUUCGAAUCAAAUUGUAGAAAGACUCCAACCCAUCUUGAAAAUUAUAGCCUAUCAACAUUUUACGUUUUCUUGCCACGUCAUCUUUCAAAACAUGUGUAUAACAUAAGAUUUUCUCAAAGAAACAAUAUGAAUGUGGAAGCAUCUAAUUUUGUGUCUUAUAACAAAAUAAUCAUCUGAAAGCGACCAAUAUUGGGUUUUUACUCAUAUAAGAUUCAAAUCCAUCAAAAAGUAGUCGUUCGUAAACAUGGCAACAUUGCCCGACGAGAAUGCAUUAUUACAGUAAAGGAACAAUCAAGCAUAGGAAAUGUAUCAAUUAUGUUAGGAAAUAAAAGAAUCAGAAUAAUAUGACAAUAUGAAAAUCAAACAAGUAAACAAGAUUUACGUCGUAAAAAUAUACCACGAAUAGAAGAGGAGAAUUUAUUAAUAUUAAUAAUGGAGGAAUAUAAAUUAUACUGUAGAAUAUAAGGAUUGAUUUUUCUGGAGGUUUACUCCUCAUAUGCAUAAUGCAAAGAAGAGAUUAAAAUGUGGUGGAUUUCAACUAUAAUAAGUAUACAAUAGUGAAAUAUUUGGAAUAAAAUAGGAUUUAAAAAAUUGCCAACUUUGAGAACUGUUCCAAAUCCGGAUAAGACCGAGGCUCGAGGAGUGGUCUCACUACUAUCGGGCGGUGGCCAAUCACUUGAGUGCUGCCUCACAGACAUUGAGCACUGGAGCUCCUAUUUUGAGCGCUCUAGUGAGACCAAGGUGCAUAGCGAGUGCCAGUUUGGCGUUUCCUUCUCCUUGCACGAUUUCUUCCUCUUCUAUUACAACUUGGACUGCUUCAAUUCUUCUUCAAGUCCAAAACAAAUUUCAAACUCUCAAUUGAACUCCUGAAUUGAAUUCCCAAAUAGACUUCAAUUAAAAUUCCCAAAUAGUCUUCCAAAUGGAAUUCGGGUCACAUCCUAAUUCUAACAUAUUAUGAUAUAAAAAAUGUUGUAAAAGAUGUGCAAGGGAAGUGCAACGGUUGUGCGUCUGCACACGUGAAAGAAGAGCGAUAUCAUGUGUGUGUGUGGUGGAUUUUUUUGAUUCAUAAGCUAUCAUGUACAGGAAAAUUGAUUGUUGUCUUCCAUACAUGUUUAAUUUAUAGAAGUAUUUUAAAAUAUAUAAAAGAAAGCAAGCCUGUCUUCUCAAUGGUAAAAUUCCUGGUAUGUGAAAGUGAAAUUAAGCAUGAAGCAUUUCUUCCUUAUUGUCUGUCACGAUUUGUUUUUCCCCAUGACGGAAACACUAUAGGAAAAUCAGUUCUCCUCACUGCAGUUCAGUAAAGUAGAGUCAUGAAAAUCACACCUGCACCAAUAGUUCUUGCUGACUUACAAAAUUUGAGUUCACUGAAAAGGGGUACGUUGCUCCAAAAAUAUUAGGAAUUAGAGAGACACAAAAGAAGUUCUAGAAGCUAGGUUGCAGCCCAGUCAAUUGGUUAUGGCUUCUGGAGAGACUCCUAAUAUUGCAUCUGAAGCCAUUGACCAUGUUUGGAAAGCCAACAUUUGCCAAUGGUGCAAAAGAAGAUUUUAUUGGGUGCCCUUACAUGAGGGCUGCAAAUAGGCCUUCCUUCCCUUAAGUGGUUUACGAAGAAGAAGAUUUUUGGGUAUUGAC